RNAcentral lists this long non-coding RNA (421 nucleotides) under Equus asinus (donkey). RNAcentral describes it as "lncRNA (ENSEASG00005038278.1)". Lineage: Eukaryota; Metazoa; Chordata; Mammalia; Perissodactyla; Equidae. The record is from RNAcentral.
CUGCCAGCGCCUGGCUCGCCAGGAAGAGGUUCUUAAGAUAUUACGGUACCUACAGGGUUUCCCGGCCUCCGAGUGCCUCCUCUUCCACAGCCUCCCUCCGCCCAGCCCGCCCAAGUGCCGCUCUCAGGGGCGGAACGAUCGUCUCCUAAAAGCUUUGGGGGCUCGCUAAGGAGCUCAUCAACGACUCUUUCAAGAUGCUUGAGAACUACCAUGAUAAAAACCGAAUUCCUCCACUUUGUGAAAAGGAUGAGUUUUUUAUGUAGAACAUAAGAUAUCUUUUGAGGUCUCGAUGAAAUUGCUGGAAGCAUCAAUCCACACCUUACUCCAUGGGAGAGAGAAGCAGUCUGUUUCCCAAGAAGCAAGUUGGGAAUCUACUGGAAUGCCCACAGAGGCCAUAUGUCUACCUUGGGCUCUAAGACAG